UAGCGUCACCGGUAUCUCCAAAUCUCAGCUCAGUAACAGGCAGUGUGUUCUUGUCAUUCUUGUCACAAUUACAUUUUCCUCCACCUGCACAGCUGUUGGUCAUUCCACAUGCACAUUUUCCACUGUUGACUGCCGCUCCACCCCAGUACUUCAUCUUUGUACCUUGACGUGAUACCCACCAACCAUAAGGUGUAGAGAACCACAUACCGCUACCAUAACAUUCAUAUUUUAUAAACUGCUCACAAUUCUUGGACUGCUUCAUAAUGGCAAGGAUCUGCUCCAUCGAAAU
This is a non-coding RNA of Paramuricea clavata, 289 nucleotides long. The record is from the annotation of a GenBank genome assembly. Lineage: Eukaryota; Metazoa; Cnidaria; Anthozoa; Malacalcyonacea; Plexauridae.